UACGUAGGGAGCAAGCGUUGUCCGGAAUCAUUGGGCGUAAAGCGCGCGUAGGUGGCCUCGUAAGUCCGCUGUGAAAGUCAAAGGCUCAACCUUUGGAAGCCGGUGGAUACUGUGGGGCUAGAGUACGGAAGAGGCGAGUGGAAUUCCUGGUGUAGCGGUGGAAUGCGCAGAUAUCAGGAGGAACACCAAUAGCGAAGGCAGCUCGCUGGGACGUUACUGACACUGAGGCGCGAAAGCGUGGGGAGCGAACAGG
RNAcentral lists this ribosomal RNA (253 nucleotides) under uncultured bacterium. RNAcentral describes it as "partial 16S ribosomal RNA". It matches the Rfam family "Bacterial small subunit ribosomal RNA", at positions 524 to 776 of the family's 1533-position model. The record is from RNAcentral.